This 4125-nucleotide long non-coding RNA is filed under the name Arabidopsis thaliana (thale cress). Its description in RNAcentral is "long non-coding RNA (ATHA_LNC000452)". The record is from RNAcentral. Lineage: Eukaryota; Viridiplantae; Streptophyta; Magnoliopsida; Brassicales; Brassicaceae.
GUCAACGGAUCAUCAGCGAUCAUAAUCACGCCAAAAUUGACGUUGGAGGAGUUUGUUCGGCGGGCUUCCGCAACUUUGACGGCGGUAGGUUUGUCACCGGAGAUGACGUCAUGGAAGUAAAAGUGGAGGUGGGUGAAUUUAUCCGGCUUGUAGCCUUGACACGGCUUUGUUGUGGAGUAAGCUUCGGAUUCUGUAACGGAUACGGAAAGAAGUAGAAUAGUUGACAAAAGAGGAAGAAGAAGGAGAAAACGUUUAGCCAUGUUAGUGAUAUGAUACUGUUGGAAAUGAAAAUAUGAUUUAUAUAUACACAAAGCAAAAUCAGUACUCUAUUGUUGGUUUAUAUUACAUUUGAAUAUGUCGUUUUCAGAUAUGACAUUACCAUGAUUCAUACAGGUAUAAACAACUAGAUAUUUCCACCUGUAUGAAUCAUGGUAACGUUAUAUCGGAGUUUUUUUAAUAAAGGUCCAAUGGUUAGAAGAAUUCUAAUGCUCUACUGCGAUAUGGGAUUAGUCUAGGUUUCGGUAUGGGAUUCUCCCGUUUAACAAAAAAAAAGAAAAGUACUGUAUUUGAUAGUAAUUUAAAAUAGGUAUAAAUAAAAGUACGUAGUUGAUAAUUAACACAAAUAAGAAUAAAAAUAAAAUUCUGCAUUGUGCGCUACAUAAUGAUGUAAAUAAAUAUAUAAAAUAAAGGUAUGUAGUAGUUGAAAGAAAGAUGUAAGACAUUCUUGUCUACAUUAAUGUAAGACAAAGUCAAUAAUACUACUGUUCUCUAAUUAAUUAUAUUUCCUUUUGGUACACCAUGAAUGAUCCAUCCACUUUACAAAGACACUACAACUUUUUGAGACGGCUUCUGUUUGGAACCACGCCAAUUAUUCAAUUACAAAUGAUUCCACCCAUGCGUAAAACACACCAUUUUUUAAAAAGAUUAACUAAUUGUUUGGUUUAGUUGGUCAAGUUUUUAUUAUAUUACUUUUAACCACACUAGUGAGAUUGUAUGGUUGAACCUUUGGUUUCUUAAAAUUUGCUUUAAAAGAAUUAUAUAAAUUAUCUUAUAACUAAACGUAGAUAAUCUUUAAGAAUAUAUAUACACUAAUAUACAUGCAAAAUACAUGGGUUUUUUUUUUGUUACUUGAUGUUGUGAAGUCAAACAUUUUCAAAUACAAUUAAAGAAAAAUACAAUGCGUAAUACUAUAUAAUUAGGAAAUUAUGUUUAAGAAAGCGUUAAGGACUGAGUGGACAACAACACAUCGCCUACACCAAAAUUUAAUCAAAAUAAAACGAUUAAAGACGGUUGAUGUAUCUAUGGAAUGGUAUAUAAUGUAUAUGAUACAUCAAAUUAAAGUAAAAACAAAAAAAAACCAAUAAUUAUAUGUAGUCUAAUAAUAAAAAUAUUGAUUUGGUUAAGAAUAUAAAACUUACUUAUUUUUGACGAAGCCAUAUCAUAGACUUCUUAAAAUUUCAAAUUUUAGGGGUUCAUCGUCUUAUAUAAAAGAUAAUCUUGAAAAUAAAAUUAUAGGAAAUUAGAUGAAGUCAAAUUAAUAUAAGUUAAAGAGAAAUUAUAAAUAUAUAUUAAAUGAAAAUAUAUAAACACAUAAGUCAUAUAACCCACGUAGGCGACGCCAAGUCUGUUUACACUCCAUCUUUUUCCGUUUAAAAGCCAUAUUAUAUAAAUAUGAUGAAGAUACAAAUGAUGGAGAUCAAUGAAAUGAUUCCAAAAACUAAGCCGAGGGAUAACAGAAUAUCUUCAGACACUAUGCCCAAAAGAGGGGAGCCGAAACUAAAAUAAAAGAAAUCAUACAAUAUAAUCAGAAUCAGGCACUAACUAAAACGCCUAUCACCAAACCAUUUUAGAGAAAAGCUUGAUAAAGUGACUAACCUAAAGGGGCUAGUAACUCCACCACAACGGAGAGCGGUUUUCCCUUUAACAAAUGAAGACUAUCUCAUUGAAAAGUAGAACAAAUGCAUUUAUUGAGGAUAUACGGACCGGUUUACAUCUAGUUAUUUUCGGUAAUGUUAGGGAAAAUACCAAAAAAAUAUAUCAAUUAUUUUUAAUUUAUACGUUUAAUAUUCAAUUAUUUUUUGUUGAAAGAUUAAUACAUAAAGUAAUAAAACUGUGUAAUUUAAUAUCCAAACCAUUAACUGUUGUUAUUUUCAUUCUCACGAUCUUACAACAAAAAUAAAAUUUCAAUUUUACCUUUACCAUCUCAAUUUUUUCUAGAGGUGGAUCUAUCAGUCCAACCGUCUAUGUCUCUCCAGGGAAUUCACGAAUCGAUCGAUCCAGAGGUGGAUCGAUCGAUCCCACCGUAUAUGUCUGAAACGUUGAAGUACGGACCGAUCGGUCCAACCGUCUAUGGCCGAUUUGUUGUAGCCUGGACCAAUCGGUUUACCCCGUCUUCUCUCCGCUUCAGCUUUUCUCGUUCUUUCUCGACCCGAAUAAACUCAAAACUAUCUAAUCCAUUCACAAGUACCUAAAACCUGCAAAAGACUCAAGACUUGAUCAAAAAGACGUAAAAACGGACUACGACAUGAUAAAUGACUCAAAACGAAGGUUAGACAAGAGAUCUAAGACACCAAAAACGCAACAUAUCAAUAGUCUUAUCACUUAUGUUACCAUGAAAUAAACAUAUAAUGUAGUUACAAACUUACAAUGUUUUUUAGAUGAUUACUAAUGUACUGGAAUUUGUAUAUCACAAUUCUUUUAAGUUAUUCAAGGCACUAGUGGAGAAAGAUUCAAGGCACUAUUGGAGAAUGCUUUUCUCUCAAAUUUGGCUCAUUUUAUAUUGACAAUGGAGGCAAGUAUCUAGCACUGGCAAACUUCCUUGCAUAUCACGGCAUCAACCAUUACAAAACACCACCACACACUCCGAAGCAUAAUGGUUUUUCUGAAAGAAAGCAUCGUCAUAUCCUAGAGACAUGCUUGUCUUUACUUAUUCACGCUUCCAUGCCCGUCAAAGACGAUGCUUAAACAAGUUCUGCAAGCAUGUAUCGACGAGCUGGGGCAGUUUCUUCUCAGUGUUGGGUUUAGUCUUAUCUCCGCAAGGUUCAGAUUUAAAGAUGUUCUUACCAAGGCUUUACCACGGACGCAGUUUCAUCUUCUCUUUGACAAGAUUAGACUCACAAAUGGUGGUUCAUCUUGAGGGGGCAUAUAAUGAUAUAUUAUAUAUCUUCAUCUUACUAUUCCUGUGUACAUUUUCCUUUCCUCUAGAUAUACCCUAUGCACACCUCACCAAAAAAAUUAUAACCACUUAUAUUAUACGAAUGCCAAAUCUCGAUAUAACAAUUUAAUUAAAGUAAUAAAUGUUAAUGAAUUUAGGACAUUUCAACCAUAUAUUUACUCUAUCACCAAUAUCUACAUCUUACUUGCCCCAUACUCACCCUUAAUUAGUACGAACAGAAAUUUCAAGUAACUACGAGACUCUCACACAUCUGACAUCUUAAUUCUCAAAAUAUUCAGACAAACAACACCUUUUGAACUUUAAACGAUCCACAACAAAAACAGAACAAUUGUUAUAUAUAUAUAUAUAUAUAUAUAUAUAAAAGAACCAAAAACAAUAUAAGAAAACCAAAGUGAAACAAUUUGUUUCGGAAAGACAUUAGACAAUAUGCAAAUGAUUAAUGCCAAAUGAAGACAUUAUACUCGACCACGGCAUCUAGACCAACAAUCUUAUAAGUCUUGGGCAGUGCAUAGCCUCUAGCAAACCUGAAAGCACCAGUUCCUCCAAUAAUCGGCAACUCUCUCACCUUCGAAAAUAUAUCAUUCCGUCCAUACACCGCGAUGGUGCUUCCAUUAAACUCUCCUGCCGUGAAAACAUAGUUAAAGACCAUUGUGAAGACUAUGUCCUUCAUGGCUGUUGAUGCGUACAUCCCCUGAGCUCUUCCCACUUCCUUUGAGCUCGGGUCUGGUCCUUCGGUCAACGGAUCAUCAGCGAUCAUAAUCACGCCAAACUUGACGUUGAGGGUGGUUGUUGGGCGGGCUUCGGCAACUUUGACGGCGGUAGGUUUGUCACCGGAGAUGACGUCAUGGAAGUAGAAGUGGAGGUGGGUGAAUUUCUCCGGCUUGUAGCCUUGAUACGGCGUUGUUGUGGAGUAAGCUGUGACGGACACGGCAAGAAGAAGAAUAGAUGAC